RNAcentral lists this ribosomal RNA (1315 nucleotides) under Pseudolycoriella sudhausi. RNAcentral's name for it is "partial 28S ribosomal RNA". It matches the Rfam family "Eukaryotic large subunit ribosomal RNA", at positions 695 to 1863 of the family's 3401-position model. Lineage: Eukaryota; Metazoa; Arthropoda; Insecta; Diptera; Sciaridae. The record is from RNAcentral.
UGGGUAUAUUGUUGAAACCUAAGGGCGCAAUUAAAAUAACUAUUUUAUAUGGGAUUACAAGUGAAUUAAAUUUCAUUUCUUCAUCCCGGGGCGUUCUAUACGAACAUGGUGCAAGCAAUUGUGCCCUCUGUUCAAGAGCGUACCUUGAGCAUACAUGCUGUGACCCGAAAGAUGGUGAACUAUACCUGAUCAGAUCRAAGCCAGGAGAAAUUCUGGUGGAGGAUCGAAACAGUUCUGACGUGCAAAUCGAUUGUCAGAAUUGGGUAUAGGGGCGAAAGACCAAUCGAACCAUCUAGUAGCUGGUUCCCUCCGAAGUUUCCCUCAGGAUAGCUGGCGCAAAGAAUUAUAUUGUAUAUAAUCUUAUCUGGUAAAGCGAAUGAUUAGAGGCCUUGGGGCCGAAACGACCUCAACCUAUUCUCAAACUUUAAAUGGGUAAGAACCUCAUCUUUCUUGAUCUGAAGAUAUUGGGGUUUAGAUAUAUUGUGCCCAGUGGGCCACUUUUGGUAAGCAGAACUGGCGCUGUGGGAUGAACCAAACAUGAUGUUACGGCGCCUAAAUUAAUGACUCAUAUUGAUACCAUGAAAGGCGUUGGUUGCUUAAAACAGCAGGACGGUGGACAUGGAAGUCGUAAUCCGCUAAGGAGUGUGUAACAACUCACCUGCCGAAGCAACUAGCCCUUAAAAUGGAUGGCGCUCAAGUCAUAUGCCUAUACAUCAUCGCUAGAAUAAAAAUUGUUGACUUUCGGGUCAUCAAUAUGAAAUUCUAGUGAGUAGGAGGGUACAAUGGUGUGCGCGGAAGUGUUUGGCGUGAGCCUGCAUGAAGCCGCCAUUGGCACAGAUCUUGGUGGUAGUAGCAAAUAAUCGAAUGAGAUCUUGGAGGACUGAAGUGGAGAAGGGUUUCGUGUGAACAGUGGUUGAUCACGAGUUAGUCGGUCCUAAGCUUUAUGCGAAAGCUGUUUAAUUUAUGUUACACACACAAUUUCCAAUUUUGUUGUACAUAAUUCAAUAAAAGCGAAAGGGAAUACGGUUCCAAUUCCGUAACCUGUUGAGUAUACGUUUGUUUAUUAAAAAUGGGUCUUAUUACACUCAUCCUGGCAACAGGAACGACCAUAGAGAAGCCUUCGAGAGAUACUGGAAGAGUUUUCUUUUCUGCUAAACAAACGUAUCACCAUGGAAGUCUUUUAUAGAGAGAUAUGGUGAAUGGCUUGGAAGAGCAUGACAUUUACUGUUGUGUCAGUAUUUUCUCCUUGGACCUUGAAAAUCUAUGGUGGGGCCACGCAAACUUUCUCAACAGACCGUACCGAUAUCCGCAGCCG